UACGAAGGGAGCUAGCGUUGUUCGGAAUCACUGGGCGUAAAGCGCACGUAGGCGGAUUUGUCAGUCAGGGGUGAAAUCCCGGGGCUCAACCUCGGAACUGCCUUUGAUACAGCAAGUCUUGAGUUCGAGAGAGGUGGGUGGAACUGCGAGUGUAGAGGUGAAAUUCGUAGAUAUUCGCAAGAACACCAGUGGCGAAGGCGGCUUACUGGUCCGGUUCUGACGCUGAGGCGCGAAAGCGUGGGGAGCAAACAGG
Molecule: ribosomal RNA, 253 nt
Filed under: uncultured bacterium
Lineage: Bacteria
Description: partial 16S ribosomal RNA
Rfam family: Bacterial small subunit ribosomal RNA
Source: RNAcentral